CCUACGGGAGGCAGCAGUGAGGAAUAUUGGUCAAUGGCCGGAAGGCUGAACCAGCCAUGCCGCGUGAAGGUCAGUGCCCUAUGGGCGUUAAACUUCUUUUGUGCGGGAGCAAUAAUGGUCACGUGUGGCCAGACGAGAGUACCGUACGUAUAAGCAUCGGCUAACUCCGUGCCAGCAGCCGCGGUAAUACGGGGGAUGCAAGCGUUAUCCGGAUUUAUUGGGUUUAAAGGGUGCGUAGGCUGUGAGGUAAGUCAGUGGUGAAAUGCCCCCGCUCAACGGGGUGAAGUGCCAUUGAUACUGCCUGGCUGGAAUGCGGAUGCCGUGGGAGGAAUGUGUGGUGUAGCGGUGAAAUGCAUAGAUAUCACACAGAACACCGAUUGCGAAGGCAUCUCACGAAUCCGCGAUUGACGCUGAUGCACGAAAGCGUGGGUAUCAAACAGGAUUAGAUACCCUUGUAGUC
RNAcentral lists this ribosomal RNA (460 nucleotides) under uncultured bacterium. Its description in RNAcentral is "partial 16S ribosomal RNA". It matches the Rfam family "Bacterial small subunit ribosomal RNA", at positions 338 to 795 of the family's 1533-position model. The record is from RNAcentral.